Pelobates cultripes (western spadefoot toad) is the source of this 294-nucleotide non-coding RNA. The record is from the annotation of a GenBank genome assembly. Lineage: Eukaryota; Metazoa; Chordata; Amphibia; Anura; Pelobatidae.
GUGAGGGGGUGACAGAGUGAGGGAAGGGGAUGACUGGUGACAGAGUGAGGGAGGGGAUGACUGGUGACAGAGUGAGGGAGGGCGUGACUAGUGACAGAAGGAAGGAGGGAGUAGUGACAGAGGGAGGUGGUGACUAGUGACAGAGUGAGGGAGGUGGUGACUAGUGACAGUCACCACCUCCCUCACUCUGUCACUAGUCACCCCUUCCUUCCCUCACUCUGCCACUAGUCACCCCUUCCCUCACUCUGCCACUAGUCACCCCUUCCCUCACUCUGUCACUAGUCACCCCCUCAC